This 800-nucleotide ribosomal RNA is filed under the name Gibellula flava. RNAcentral's name for it is "partial large subunit ribosomal RNA". It matches the Rfam family "Eukaryotic large subunit ribosomal RNA", at positions 120 to 934 of the family's 3401-position model. The record is from RNAcentral. Lineage: Eukaryota; Fungi; Ascomycota; Sordariomycetes; Hypocreales; Cordycipitaceae.
CCCCCCCCCCCCCCCGGCGGGGGCCCGAGUUGUAGUCUGCAGAGGAUGCCCUGGGCGCGGCGCCUUCCGAGUUCCCUGGAACGGGACGCCACAGAGGGUGAGAGCCCCGUCCGGUCGGACGCCAGGCCCGUGUAGGGCUCCUUCGACGAGUCGAGUAGUUUGGGAAUGCUGCUCAAAGUGGGAGGUAUAUGUCUUCUAAAGCUAAAUACCGGCCAGAGACCGAUAGCGCACAAGUAGAGUGAUCGAAAGAUGAAAAGCACUUUGGAAAGAGGGUUAAAGAGCACGUGAAAUUGCUGAAAGGGAAGCGCCCGCGACCAGACUUGGGCCCGGCAGGUCACCCAGGCUCUCGGGCCAGGGGCACUCUGCCGGGCGCAGGCCAGCAUCGGCUCGGCGCGGGGGACAAAGGCGGCGGGAACGUGGCUCCUCAGGGAGUGCUUAUAGCCCGCCGCGCCAUGCCCCGUGCCGGGCCGAGGCACGCGCACCGCAAGGAUGCUGGCGUAAUGGUCGCCGGCGACCCGUCUUGAAACACGGACCAAGGAGUCGUCCUCGUAUGCGAGUGUUGGGGUGCCAAACCCCUACGCGCAGUGAAAGCGAACGCAGGUGAGAGCCGAAGCCUCGGCGCAUCAUCGACCGAUCCUGAUGUUGUCGGAUGGAUUUGAGUAGGAGCAUACGGGGCCGGACCCGAAAGAAGGUGAACUAUGCCUGUGUAGGGUGAAGCCAGAGGAAACUCUGGUGGAGGCUCGCAGCGGUUCUGACGUGCGAAUCGAUCGUCAAACAUGGGCAUGGGGGCGAAAGACUAA